Molecule: ribosomal RNA, 465 nt
Filed under: uncultured bacterium
Lineage: Bacteria
Description: partial 16S ribosomal RNA
Rfam family: Bacterial small subunit ribosomal RNA
Source: RNAcentral
CCUACGGGUGGCAGCAGUGGGGAAUAUUGCGCAAUGGGCGCAAGCCUGACGCAGCGACGCCGCGUGAGGGAUGAAGGUCUUCGGAUCGUAAACCUCUGUCAGCAGGUAAGCACGGUCACUGUGCUAAUCAGCAGUGAAUUGACGGGAACUGCAAAGGAAGCACCGGCUAACUCCGUGCCAGCAGCCGCGGUAAUACGGAGGGGGCGAGCGUUAAUCGGAAGUAAUUGGCGUAAAGCGGUCGUAGGCAGGAUGUCAAGUCAAGGGUGAAAUCCCCGCGCUCAACGUGGUAACUGCCUUUGAAACUGGCAAACUGGAGUGUGGUAGAGGAUAGUGGAAUUCCCGGUGUAGUAGUGAAAGCCGUAGAUAUCUGGAGGAACAUCAGUGGCGAAGGCGACUAUCUGGCACAUAACUGACGCUGAGGAGCGAAAGCGUGGGUAGCAAACAGGAUUAGAUACCCUUGUAGUC